UGCAAGUCUCAGUACGAGCUGUAUUAAAGUGAAACCGCAAAAGGCUCAGUAAACCGGUCAUAGUUUACCGGAUAUAUGCCACUUAGGUGGAUAACUGUGGUAAUUCUAGAGCUAAUACAUGCAACCAAGUCCCGACCAGCGAUGGAAAGGACGCUUUUAUUGGAUCAAAACCAUUCGCCCCGGUCCGCCGGGGCGUCUGCUUGAUGACUCUAGAUAACACCACAGAUCGCACGGUCACAGUACCGGCGACGUAUCCGUCAAAUGUCUGACUUAUCAGCUGUCGAUGGUAGACUCUGUGUCUACCAUGGCGCUCACGGGUAACGGGGAAUCAGGGUUCGAUUCCGGAGAGGGAGCCUGAGAAACGGCUACCACAUCCAAGGAAGGCAGCAGGCACGCAAAUUACCCACUCCCGGCACGGGGAGGUAGUGACAAAAAAUAACGAUACGGGACUCAUCCGAGGCCCCGUAAUCGGAAUGAGAACACCCUAAAUCCUUUAACGAGGAUCUAUUGGAGGGCAAGUCUGGUGCCAGCAGCCGCGGUAAUUCCAGCUCCAAUAGCGUAUAUUAAAGUUGUUGCGGUUAAAAAGCUCGUAGUUGGUUCUGCGUGCCACGCUGUCGGUUCACCGCCUGUCGGUGCAACUGGCAUGCCGUGGCAUGUCCUGUCGGUGGCCGACAGGCUUCGCGGCGCGCCCUAUUCGUUCACACGUGUAGGUCGUCGCGCCGAGUUGUCCUCGUAGGCCGGCUCAAUCCUACCGCGGUGCUCUUUACCGAGUGUCGAGGUAGGCCGACACUGUUUACUUUGAACAAAUUAGAGUGCUUAAAGCAGGCUCUGAAAGCAGCCUGAAUAGUGGUGCAUGGAAUAAUGGAACAGGACCUUGGUUCUAUUUUGUUGGUUUUCUGAAUCCAAGGUAAUGAUCAAUAAGGACAGGCGGGGGCAUUCGUAUUGCGACGUUAGAGGUGAAAUUCUUGGAUCGUCGCAAGACGCACUAGAGCGAAAGCAUUUGCCAAGUAUGUCUUAAUUGAUCAAGAACGAAAGUUAGAGGUUCGAAGGCGAUCAGAUACCGCCCUAGUUCUAACCAUAAACGAUGCCAGCCAGCGAUCCGCCGAUGUUCCUCCGAUGACUCGGCGGGGAGCUUUCCCCGGGAAACCAAAGCUUUUGGGUUCCGGGGGAAGUAUGGUUGCAAAGCUGAAACUUAAAGGAAUUGACGGAAGGGCACCACCAGGAGUGGAGCCUGCGGCUUAAUUUGACUCAACACGGGAAACCUCACCAGGCCCGGACAUUGGAAGGAUUGACAGAUCGAUAGCUCUUUCUCGAUUCAGUGGGUAGUGGUGCAUGGCCGUUCUUAGUUGGUGGACUGAUUUGUCUGGUUAAUUCCGAUAACGAACGAGACUCUGACCUAUUAACUAGGCGCUCCCGGUAUAAAUGCCUACCGGCGAGAUU
This 1440-nucleotide ribosomal RNA is filed under the name Megacopta cribraria (bean plataspid). RNAcentral's name for it is "SSU rRNA". It matches the Rfam family "Eukaryotic small subunit ribosomal RNA", at positions 52 to 1391 of the family's 1831-position model. Lineage: Eukaryota; Metazoa; Arthropoda; Insecta; Hemiptera; Plataspidae. The record is from RNAcentral. RNAcentral also lists the same sequence under 14 other names.